Molecule: long non-coding RNA, 1366 nt
Organism: Columba livia (rock pigeon)
Lineage: Eukaryota; Metazoa; Chordata; Aves; Columbiformes; Columbidae
Exons: 2
Source: RefSeq, a predicted model, not a curated record
CUGCAUCCCUGCCCUCAGCUCUGCCACUUCUGAACCACCCACAGAAAAGCCAGUUCCAGCAGAAGUCAGUGAGACAUGUACGCACUCGGCCAUCGGUGAUUUGCAAACAUCACUCGUGCUCCCAGAGACCAGCAAGAGCACUCGCACCUUUGCGCAAAGACUGUCACCCAGGGUCCUCCUGCCCACCUUGGGAACAGGUGACAGCCAGCCUGGCCACAAGGGCUCUGUGCUCCUCAUGGCUGAAUGUGAUGUGCAGCUAAAGGUCUGAGAGAAACCCACCUUGGAUGCUCUUCUGGAACAAAGAGCCUCAGAUUACAUCACUGGGGAGUCCCCUUUCCCACCAGCAACCCUUUGCAGAGCCCCUACCAUCUCUGUGCAGCGUAAAGGGACCCAGCACUGCACCAAGGAUGUCACGGCAAAUGUGAAAGGCCAAACCAUGGUGGGAUCAAACCCCCCCAGCCUCCCGCUUCUCUCCCCCGCAUCCCUGCCUAGUAGAGAGAGAGGCUAUCCAGCCCCACGCUGCUGCAACACCCACAGUGCUCAGAGUUACGAGCAGCUCUCAGGAAUGCUUUGAAGUGGCUCAAACCAGAGGAGAAAGCACAAGCAAGACAGAGGGAUGAGGGUGCCGUCCAUGCUCUCCAGAGACAGCGGGAAGCUGACAAUGCAGCUGGAAGCAAACGGUUACGGUCGCGGCCAUCCCUGAAGCAGCUCGCUGCAACAUCGCUCCCCGACAGCUCGACAUACCCAGGAGCAGCUUUUGGAACCACUCGGACAUGCACCAUUAGCCAGCAUUUGCAGGGAAGCUGGGGAAUUAAAUGAAGUUAUUCAUUUCUCCCUUCUCCCCCACCCAUCCGAGUGCCCCCCACGCAUGGCCAGCGAGGUGAAGCCCACACCAGGUCACCGGCCACCAGCUCCGGCACCGCGCAAGGAACGGCUGCGUGACACGCAGGCAGCUCCUGCUCUGCCAGCCAGGAUGGGAGGGCAAAAACCAGGGGAAGAUACUUUUGGCAAGUAGAGAAAGCUCAACCACAACACACACACAAACUCAGGAGCCAACCUUCAGAGCAGAAACGCGUCUCCAUGCCAAGAGCUCGGCUAUUUUCCUCCCUCUUCCCGGCUCGCAGCUCUGAGCUAACAGGCUCAGCAUUCAUCCCCCCGCGCCGUGCGGCACAUGGGAGCCGGCGGGGAGAGACAGACUCAAAUGAAAUCCAGACCUAGAAAGCAGUUUCUUUUUCCCCCUUGCUUCCCCCCGCCCCAGCUUCUGCUGGAACCACCUUCUGUCUAGAGGGCUCAGGAGGAUGGAGGAAAGAAAAAAAGGCAGAAAGGAAGCAUUGCAAAAAAAAAAAAAAAAAAAAAAAAAAGAAAA